Zophobas morio is the source of this 895-nucleotide long non-coding RNA. RefSeq lists it as uncharacterized. The record is from RefSeq and is a predicted model, not a curated record. NCBI's taxonomy places the organism in Eukaryota, Metazoa, Arthropoda, Insecta, Coleoptera, Tenebrionidae. The transcript has 3 exons.
ACUUCAUUAAUAUACACUAACGUGUAUAUACGGCCGUUUCAAUUUUUGAUUUUCCAUUAGAAAAAAUGUUCCGCCGCCUAGUGCAUAUUGUGGCGCCCUCACACGACAGAUCUCGUGCUAUUUCUGUCAAAUUAAUUGUCAAGUUGAAACUGACAUUGACAACAAAUUUUACUCGAAGCAUAAAAAAGAAGUUUGGUUCAGAUAAUAAUGUUUUUUUUUAAUUUUAUCACAAAACACAGUUUAAAAUUUAAUGCAAAUCUCUUGACAGAAUCUGUGGUCUCCAAGCAAAGAUUGCUGAGAACUGGCUUUACAGUCGUUUUGAUUAUAUAUUUGCACACAGAAUCCCUGUGAUUUGCACAGACAAAAAUAGGAUUUUGCACAAGGUGUGGAUACAGUUCUUCAACUAUCAGCUGAAUAAUACCAACAAAGAUAUCUUUGGGAUAGACUAAACCUCCUCAGUUUUGAAUGGCAAUCAAUUGUAGCAAAGGACCUGGAAUGCUAGUACAUAAUAGAGGUGUUAAACAUUCAUCACAAUGAAAUAAAUCUUCUAAUUUUUUUAUGAUGUAUCCUGCCAAGAAAGCUACUAUAUUAUUAUCACUUCUUAAGAUUGUGAAUAUUUCUUCGUACUUCAAUUGGAAAUAUGAGUUGUUCUGUGUGCUUAGUAAAGCUCUCUCUGUUUUCUUGUAAAUUUAAAAUAUUUGCAGGACUAAUAUAGUUAACAUUUUCAGCAGUGUUUGAGGAAUGGGAAGCUUUAACAAUCCCACAACGAAGAAUUUGCCUUAAUGCAUAAUCUGCAGCUCUGGCAUCUGUGGCAUCAUUAGAACCACCUUUCAGUCUUACAUGUGAAAACAUGGCCUCUACAGCGUCUGAGCUAAAGGAUCGCGUUACAACAUAA